This 433-nucleotide ribosomal RNA is filed under the name uncultured bacterium. RNAcentral describes it as "partial 16S ribosomal RNA". It matches the Rfam family "Bacterial small subunit ribosomal RNA", at positions 29 to 507 of the family's 1533-position model. The record is from RNAcentral.
AACGAACGCUGGCGGCAUGCCUAACACAUGCAAGUCGAACGAGACCUUCGGGUCUAGUGGCGCACGGGUGCGUAACGCGUGGGAACCUGCCCUUAGGUUCGGAAUAACUCCCCGAAAGGGGUGCUAAUACCGGAUAAUGUCUUCGGACCAAAGAUUUAUCGCCUUUGGAUGGGCCCGCGUUGGAUUAGCUAGUUGGUAGGGUAAAAGCCUACCAAGGCGACGAUCCAUAGCUGGUCUGAGAGGAUGAUCAGCCACACUGGGACUGAGACACGGCCCAGACUCCUACGGGAGGCAGCAGUGGGGAAUAUUGGACAAUGGGCGAAAGCCUGAUCCACCAAUGCCGCGUGAGUGAUGAAGGCCUUAGGGUUGUAAAGCUCUUUUACCCGGGAUGAUAAUGACAGUACCGGGAGAAUAAGCUCCGGCUAACUCCGUG